GCCCCCAUCGUCUAGCCAGGUCUAGGACACCGGUCUUUCAAGCCGGGAACGGGGGUUCAAAUCCCCCUGGGGGCG
This 75-nucleotide transfer RNA is filed under the name Candidatus Calescibacteriota bacterium. RNAcentral's name for it is "Candidatus Calescamantes bacterium (hot springs metagenome) tRNA-Glu". It matches the Rfam family "tRNA". Rfam says of the family: Transfer RNA (tRNA) molecules are approximately 80 nucleotides in length. Their secondary structure includes four short double-helical elements and three loops (D, anti-codon, and T loops). Further hydrogen bonds mediate the characteristic L-shaped molecular structure. tRNAs have two regions of fundamental functional importance: the anti-codon, which is responsible for specific mRNA codon recognition, and the 3' end, to which the tRNAs corresponding amino acid is attached (by aminoacyl-tRNA synthetases). tRNAs cope with the degeneracy of the genetic code in two manners: having more than one tRNA (with a specific anti-codon) for a particular amino acid; and 'wobble' base-pairing, i.e. permitting non-standard base-pairing at the 3rd anti-codon position. The record is from RNAcentral. Lineage: Bacteria; Candidatus Calescibacteriota. RNAcentral also lists the same sequence under 1 other name.